This is a long non-coding RNA of Phyllostomus discolor (pale spear-nosed bat), 99 nucleotides long. RefSeq lists it as uncharacterized. The record is from RefSeq and is a predicted model, not a curated record. Lineage: Eukaryota; Metazoa; Chordata; Mammalia; Chiroptera; Phyllostomidae. The transcript is spliced from 3 exons.
ACAUCAAUGUGUGGGGGCUGGUCAGGGGAACUCUGGGCUGGCUCCACAGGAAAGGGCUGCACGGGCAGGGCAGGGAAGCCAAGUUCAAGUGCUUGGAGU